UACGUAGGGGGCUAGCGUUAUCCGGAUUUACUGGGCGUAAAGGGUGCGUAGGCGGUCUUUCAAGUCAGGAGUUAAAGGCUACGGCUCAACCGUAGUAAGCUCCUGAUACUGUCUGACUUGAGUGCAGGAGAGGAAAGCGGAAUUCCCAGUGUAGCGGUGAAAUGCGUAGAUAUUGGGAGGAACACCAGUAGCGAAGGCGGCUUUCUGGACUGUAACUGACGCUGAGGCACGAAAGCGUGGGGAGCAAACA
This 250-nucleotide ribosomal RNA is filed under the name uncultured Clostridium sp. RNAcentral's name for it is "partial 16S ribosomal RNA". It matches the Rfam family "Bacterial small subunit ribosomal RNA", at positions 524 to 774 of the family's 1533-position model. Lineage: Bacteria; Bacillati; Bacillota; Clostridia; Eubacteriales; Clostridiaceae. The record is from RNAcentral.